RNAcentral lists this ribosomal RNA (518 nucleotides) under uncultured bacterium. RNAcentral describes it as "partial 16S ribosomal RNA". It matches the Rfam family "Bacterial small subunit ribosomal RNA", at positions 355 to 867 of the family's 1533-position model. The record is from RNAcentral.
UGGGGAAUUUUGGACAAUGGGCGCAAGCCUGAUCCAGCCAUGCCGCGUGCGGGAAGAAGGCCUUCGGGUUGUAAACCGCUUUUGUCAGGGAAGAAAUCUUCUGAGUUAAUACCUCGGGAGGAUGACGGUACCUGAAGAAUAAGCACCGGCUAACUACGUGCCAGCAGCCGCGGUAAUACGUAGGGUGCAAGCGUUAAUCGGAAUUACUGGGCGUAAAGCGUGCGCAGGCGGUUUUGUAAGACAGAGGUGAAAUCCCCGGGCUCAACCUGGGAACUGCCUUUGUGACUGCAAGGCUUGAGUGCGGCAGAGGGGGAUGGAAUUCCGCGUGUAGCAGUGAAAUGCGUAGAUAUGCGGAGGAACACCGAUGGCGAAGGCAAUCCCCUGGGCCUGCACUGACGCUCAUGCACGAAAGCGUGGGGAGCAAACAGGAUUAGAUCCCUGGUAGUCCACGCCCUAAACGAUGUCAACUGGUUGUUGGGAAGGUUCCUUCUCAGUAACGUAGCUAACGCGUGAAGUUG